RNAcentral lists this ribosomal RNA (460 nucleotides) under uncultured bacterium. RNAcentral describes it as "bacterial SSU rRNA". It matches the Rfam family "Bacterial small subunit ribosomal RNA", at positions 28 to 483 of the family's 1533-position model. The record is from RNAcentral.
GAUGAACGCUAGCGGCAGGCUUAAUACAUGCAAGUCGUGGGGCAGCAUGAGUAGCAAUACUUGAUGGCGACCGGCAAACGGGUGAGGAACACGUACACAACCUUCCUUCAAGCGGGGAAUAGCCCAGAGAAAUUUGGAUUAAUACCCCAUAAUAUAUUUGAUAAGGCAUCUUAUUAAUAUUAAAGCUUCGGCACUUGAUGAUGGGUGUGCGGCUGAUUAGAUAGUUGGCGGGGUAACGGCCCACCAAGUCUACGAUCAGUAGCUGAUGUGAGAGCAUGAUCAGCCACACGGGCACUGAGACACGGGCCCGACUCCUACGGGAGGCAGCAGUAAGGAAUAUUGGACAAUGGACGAAAGUCCGAUCCAGCCAUGCCGCGUGAAGGAUUAAGGUCCUCUGGAUUGUAAACUUCUUUUAUAUGGGACGAAAAAGGGCAUUCUUGUUCACUUGACGGUACCAUAU